Molecule: long non-coding RNA, 417 nt
Filed under: Elaeis guineensis (African oil palm)
Lineage: Eukaryota; Viridiplantae; Streptophyta; Magnoliopsida; Arecales; Arecaceae
Description: long non-coding RNA (EGUI_LNC013957)
Source: RNAcentral
AAAAUGGAAAACCGAGAGGAGAGAACGAAGAGGAAAAGGCAAACGGUGCCUGCUCCCGCUGACGAGGUUGGGAGUGUUGCCAAAAAAAAAAAGAGGGGUUGGAGAAGGCAUUUAUGGAGAGAAAUCUAAAAUAAAAUCCAAAACCCUCCUUUUUAAAAAAAAAAAAUAUAUGCUAUCUGAAUUUAGAAUAAAAAUCUAAAACCCUUCAUAUUUAUAUCCUAAUAUAUUUUCUCACUAAAUUAUAGUUAGAAAUUUUUCCUUCGGCUCUCCCUUGGCUUCCUGGGACAUUGGAUUGCAGCACAUGUUAAUGAAGCAAUUUUGAAGCUGGAAAUGAGCGUAGGGCUACGAUACACGAUCGGAUCAUGGUUGACGGUCCGCUGACUUAUGGAAUUACUGGAACAACUGUAUUGAAAAGUA